RNAcentral lists this transfer RNA (71 nucleotides) under Caudoviricetes sp. RNAcentral's name for it is "tRNA-OTHER". It matches the Rfam family "tRNA". From Rfam's summary of the family: Transfer RNA (tRNA) molecules are approximately 80 nucleotides in length. Their secondary structure includes four short double-helical elements and three loops (D, anti-codon, and T loops). Further hydrogen bonds mediate the characteristic L-shaped molecular structure. tRNAs have two regions of fundamental functional importance: the anti-codon, which is responsible for specific mRNA codon recognition, and the 3' end, to which the tRNAs corresponding amino acid is attached (by aminoacyl-tRNA synthetases). tRNAs cope with the degeneracy of the genetic code in two manners: having more than one tRNA (with a specific anti-codon) for a particular amino acid; and 'wobble' base-pairing, i.e. permitting non-standard base-pairing at the 3rd anti-codon position. The record is from RNAcentral. Lineage: Duplodnaviria; Heunggongvirae; Uroviricota; Caudoviricetes. RNAcentral also lists the same sequence under 1 other name.
CGAAAUGUAGCUUAACUGGUAAAGCACCAACGCAAGAGUUGGAGAUUCAGGUCCGAGUCCUGACUUUUCGA